RNAcentral lists this ribosomal RNA (253 nucleotides) under uncultured bacterium. RNAcentral describes it as "partial 16S ribosomal RNA". It matches the Rfam family "Bacterial small subunit ribosomal RNA", at positions 524 to 776 of the family's 1533-position model. The record is from RNAcentral.
UACGGGGGGAGCAAGCGUUGUUCGGAUUUACUGGGCGUAAAGGGCGCGUAGGCGGCGUGACAAGUCACUUGUGAAAUCUCCGGGCUUAACCCGGAACGGUCAAGUGAUACUGUCGUGCUAGAGUACAGAAGGGGCAACUGGAAUUCUCGGUGUAGCGGUGAAAUGCGCAGAUAUCAGGAGGAACACCGAUGGCGAAGGCAGGUCUCUGGGCAUUAACUGACGCUGAGGAGCGAAAGCAUGGGGAGCGAACAGG